This 652-nucleotide long non-coding RNA is filed under the name Brachypodium distachyon (stiff brome). Its description in RNAcentral is "long non-coding RNA (BDIS_LNC001241)". Lineage: Eukaryota; Viridiplantae; Streptophyta; Magnoliopsida; Poales; Poaceae. The record is from RNAcentral.
AUAGAUGGGGAAACUAUCGGUCCGCGGGGGGAGGGAGGGGCCGAGGGGUGGUUCCGGAAAUGUUUUGGACACUUGUCAGACUACUCCAUGUCCUGCUUUCAGUACUCCAUCCUAUUACUCCACAUAGCUGAAUUGGAGUAUUAGGAAGUAUCGUCGAAUCUGAGUCCUUGGAUUAAAAAAUAGACGGUCCGAAUUAAUUACAGGGUGCAGUAGAAGAGCUUAAACGAAUGCUAGUAGAGUAGAGAGUAGCAGCUGGUAACAGCGAAGGCAAAUGAGAGAGCCGGCGAAGAGUAGCAGCUGGCAUGUACAGGAACGUGAUCAACGUCAAUCCUAAACAAACAAAGAGGGAACCAUGCAUGCACACACCAUUUUCGCGCACAAGCCGAAAGCAGCGUCCACUAUCUCCUUUACUACAGUCCUUUGUGGCCGUAACCCCAAACGAGGCAAAGGAAAGAAAAAGAAAAAGAAAAGCACGACCUAGCUAUCUUCCCCUUAGCACGCGACACGUCGCGCCAAGAGCUCUCGUAGCUACCGCAUGCACGCGUGAGCCAGCCAGGUUAAAGUCUUAAUCACCUGCAGGUCAGAGGCUAAUCAGAUACAGAUCGAGACGCCUACCCACGCUAACCAAAGUAAUUAUACCACACUUCUCUCU